Molecule: ribosomal RNA, 2401 nt
Filed under: human gut metagenome
Description: bacterial LSU rRNA
Rfam family: Bacterial large subunit ribosomal RNA
Source: RNAcentral
UUAAGUUAAUAAGGGCGCACGGUGGAUGCCUUGGCACUAGAAGCCGAUGAAGGACGUGACUAACGACGAAAUGCUUUGGGGAGCUGUAAGUGAGCAAUGAUCCAGAGAUGUCCGAAUGGGGGAACCCGGCAGGUAAUGCCUGUCACUCAUUACUGUUAAGGUAAUGUAGAGGAAGACGCAGUGAACUGAAACAUCUAAGUAGCUGCAGGAAGAGAAAGCAAAAGCGAUUGCCUUAGUAGCGGCGAGCGAAACGGCAAGAGGGCAAACCGAAGAGUUUACUCUUCGGGGUUGUAGGACUGCAACGUGGACUUAAAGAUUAUAGAAGAACUACCUGGGAAGGUAGGCCAAAGAGAGUAAUAGCCUCGUAUUCGAAAUAGUCUUUAUACCUAGCAGUAUCCUGAGUACGGCGAGACACGAGAAAUCUCGUCGGAAUCUGGGAGGACCAUCUCCCAACCCUAAAUACUCUCUAGUGACCGAUAGUGAACCAGUACCGUGAGGGAAAGGUGAAAAGCACCCCGGGAGGGGAGUGAAAUAGAACCUGAAACCGUGUGCCUACAACAAGUUCGAGCCCGUUAAUGGGUGAGAGCGUGCCUUUUGUAGAAUGAACCGGCGAGUUACGAUAUGAUGCGAGGUUAAGUUGAAGAGACGGAGCCGUAGGGAAACCGAGUCUUAAUAGGGCGUAUUAGUAUCAUGUCGUAGACCCGAAACCAUGUGACCUACCCAUGAGCAGGUUGAAGGUGAGGUAAAACUCACUGGAGGACCGAACCAGGGCACGUUGAAAAGUGCUUGGAUGACUUGUGGGUAGCGGAGAAAUUCCAAACGAACUUGGAGAUAGCUGGUUCUCUCCGAAAUAGCUUUAGGGCUAGCGUCGAUGUUAAGUCUCUUGGAGGUAGAGCACUGUUUGGGUGAGGGGUCCAUCCCGGAUUACCAAUCUCAGAUAAACUCCGAAUGCCAACGAGAUAUAAUCGGCAGUCAGACUGCGAGUGCUAAGAUCCGUAGUCGAAAGGGAAACAGCCCAGACCACCAGCUAAGGUCCCAAAAUAUAUGUUAAGUGGAAAAGGAUGUGGGGUUGCACAGACAACUAGGAUGUUAGCUUAGAAGCAGCUAUUCAUUCAAAGAGUGCGUAAUAGCUCACUAGUCGAGUGACCCUGCGCCGAAAAUGUACCGGGGCUAAAACAUAUUACCGAAGCUGUGGAUACCUUUAUAGGUAUGGUAGGAGAGCGUUCUAUGUGCGAAGAAGGUGUACCGUGAGGAGUGCUGGAGCGCAUAGAAGUGAGAAUGCCGGUAUGAGUAGCGAAAGACAGGUGAGAAUCCUGUCCACCGUAAGACUAAGGUUUCCAGGGGAAGGCUCGUCCGCCCUGGGUUAGUCGGGACCUAAGGAGAGACCGAAAGGUGUAUCCGAUGGACAACAGGUUGAUAUUCCUGUACUAGAGUAUAUAGUGAUGGAGGGACGCAGUAGGCUAACUAAACCAGACGAUUGGAAGUGUCUGGCCAAGCAGUGAGGUGUGAUAUGAGUCAAAUGCUUAUAUCUAUAACAUUGAGCUGUGAUGGGGAGCGAAGUUUAGUAGCGAAGUUAGUGAUGUCACACUGCCGAGAAAAGCUUCUAGCGUUAAUUAUACUCUACCCGUACCGCAAACCGACACAGGUAGUCGAGGCGAGUAGCCUCAGGUGAGCGAGAGAACUCUCGUUAAGGAACUCGGCAAAAUGGCCCCGUAACUUCGGGAGAAGGGGCGCUGACUUAUGGUCAGCCGCAGUGAAUAGGCCCAAGCAACUGUUUAUCAAAAACACAGCUCUCUGCUAAAUCGUAAGAUGAUGUAUAGGGGGUGACGCCUGCCCGGUGCUGGAAGGUUAAGAGGAGUGCUUAGCAAUAGCGAAGGUAUGAAUUGAAGCCCCAGUAAACGGCGGCCGUAACUAUAACGGUCCUAAGGUAGCGAAAUUCCUUGUCGGGUAAGUUCCGACCCGCACGAAAGGCGUAAUGAUUUGGGCACUGUCUCAACGAGAGACUCGGUGAAAUUUUAGUACCUGUGAAGAUGCAGGUUACCCGCGACAGGACGGAAAGACCCCAUGGAGCUUUACUGCAGUUUGAUAUUGAGUAUCUGUACCACAUGUACAGGAUAGGUAGGAGCCUAUGACCUCGGGACGCCAGUUUCGAGUGAGGCGUUGUUGGGAUACUACCCUUGUGUUAUGGCUACUCUAACCCAGAUAGGUUAUCCCUAUCGGAGACAGUGUCUGACGGGCAGUUUGACUGGGGCGGUCGCCUCCUAAAAGGUAACGGAGGCGCCCAAAGGUUCCCUCAGAAUGGUUGGAAAUCAUUCGCAGAGUGUAAAGGUAUAAGGGAGCUUGACUGCGAGAGUUACAACUCGAGCAGGGACGAAAGUCGGGCUUAGUGAUCCGGUGGUUC